CGCAGUAAAAAUUAAUGGGUACAUGACAGAUAUGUUUAACGUUAAUUUGGGUGUGAAACAAGGAUGUAAAUUAUCUCCGACUUUGUUCUCAGUUUAUGUAAACGAUCUGGCAGAUGAAAUCAACUCUUUGAAUUUGGGUAUACCAAUUAAUGCAGAUAGUAUGAUUUCGAUAUUAUUAUACGCAGAUGACAUUGUUCUAUUGGCGCCCAACGAAGAAUCACUUCAGCAAAUGUUAAAUAUUGUUCAUAUAUGGUGUUUGAAAUGGAGAUUAUGUAUAAAUUUUGACAAAACUGGUGUAGUGCAUUUCAGAAGUGGAUCCUCACCUCGAUCUAACUUUGAUUUUUCGUGUGGAAAUACCGUUGUAAAGUACGACAGCAAAUAUAGAUAUCUUGGAAUGUGGAUAGAUGAACACCUAGACUGGAAGUUUACGGUUAGAGAAGUAAGAAAAUCGGCAAGUCGAGCUUUGUCGGCACUGUAUACCAAAUUUAUAGCCUGUGGUGGAAUGGACUUUGAUAUAUAUGAAAAAUUAUAUGAAAACCUUGUUCAACCUGUAUUGUUGUAUGGAUCAAGUAUCUGGGGUAUAUCGGAACAUAAGCAACUAGAAACUGUGCAAAAUAGGGCAUGUAGAUACUUUUUAGGGGCCUUUAAAAACUCCACCAAUCUAGCCGUUCGUGGAGAUAUGGAAUGGACAACAGUUAAAACAAAACAGAACAUUGAAGUUAUGAGAUUAUUUUUCAAACUUUCUAAUUUAGAGGAUGAUAGAAUAGUUCAGACUAUCCAUGAAACUAGUAAGACAAAACAACGAUCUUGGCAUUCACGUGUAUUAGCUUUACUGAGAAAAUCUGAAUUGAACUUUUUAAUCAAUCUCAACAUAACAACCAAACAAAAGCUACGAAUGGCUCAAGACAAAUUAACAGCUAUAGAUCAGGAGAAAUGGUUAAUUGAUGUUUUUGACGAUAAAAAUUCUGUAAAUGGAAACAAGCUUAGAACAUUCAGAAGGUUUAAAAACAAUUGCAAAACUAGUCUAUUUGUUAAAACAAUCAACUUUCGUGACCAUCGACGCAUUUUAUCAAACUUUCGAUGUGGAUCGCUGCCGCUUGCGGUUGAGACCGGACGUUACACCAAGCCGACCACUCCAUUAUGUGAUAGACUUUGUCUUUUCUGCAAUAACAAUUUUAUAGAGACAGAACAACAUUUUUUAAUAGACUGUAAUUUUUAUUCAGAUAUAAGAGAAGAACUUUUUAAUUAUAUUAAUGCUUUGAAUAACACUUUUAAUGCUUUUAACUCUGAUGAAAAAUUUGAUUUUAUUAUGAACUGUGAUCAUGCUCAGGUUUUAUUAGCCAAGACAUUAC
This 1352-nucleotide long non-coding RNA is filed under the name Mytilus galloprovincialis (Mediterranean mussel). The record is from RNAcentral. Lineage: Eukaryota; Metazoa; Mollusca; Bivalvia; Mytilida; Mytilidae.